AGGACGAACGCUGGCGGCGUGCUUAACACAUGCAAGUCGAGCGGAAAGGCCCUUCGGGGUACUCGAGCGGCGAACGGGUGAGUAACACGUGAGUAAUCUGCCCCUAGCUCUGGGAUAGCUCCGGGAAACCGGGAUUAAUACUGGAUACCCGACCACCUUAGACAUCUUUUGUGGUGGAAAGAAUUUCGGCUAGGGAUGAGCUCGCGGCCUAUCAGCUUGUUGGUGGGGUAACGGCCUACCAAGGCGACGACGGGUA
This 256-nucleotide ribosomal RNA is filed under the name uncultured bacterium. Its description in RNAcentral is "partial small subunit ribosomal RNA". It matches the Rfam family "Bacterial small subunit ribosomal RNA", at positions 26 to 285 of the family's 1533-position model. The record is from RNAcentral.